UGAGGCCUCCGACGUGACACAACAUCCUGCAGCGGUGUUGUGUGACCUGCAGUGUCCGUCGCUGGCCUCG
Small RNA from Penicillium digitatum PHI26, 70 nucleotides. It matches the Rfam family "bZIP non canonical Hac1/Xbp1 intron". Rfam says of the family: bZIP intron RNA is a non-canonical intron that was first reported in HAC1 gene in yeast and XBP1 gene in Metazoa. NCBI's taxonomy places the organism in Eukaryota, Fungi, Ascomycota, Eurotiomycetes, Eurotiales, Aspergillaceae. The record is from Rfam.